This 64-nucleotide transfer RNA is filed under the name Thinonoma atra. RNAcentral describes it as "tRNA-Cys". The record is from RNAcentral. Lineage: Eukaryota; Metazoa; Arthropoda; Insecta; Coleoptera; Staphylinidae.
AGCUUUAUAGUCAAAAUAUGAUUUUAAAUUGCAAGUUUAAAGUUGGUCUAUGUGCCUAAGGCUU